UCAUCCUUGAUCGUGCGGCAAAUAUGAAACAACAUUUUUUUACCAAAAAUUUUCUCUCUCCUCUCUCUCCUUCGUUUAUCUUCUGAAACUCAAAAACUUUCUCUCUCCUCUUUCCUUUCUCCUUCGUUUAUCUUCUGAAACAUUCUUCUCUACACUAGGCUCAAUCUUCUUCUUGUUUUGCGCAACUUUUUCAUCCUCCAUUGAUAAUUUGAAUAACAUUCAGAAAGCUACCUGUGAGGAAAUUGAAUGUUGAUGAAGUUGUUGUUAUAGUUAUAGAUGCUCCUGAAUUUGAACAUGCGAAUGAAUCAAGGAUUAAUACCCUAUCUAAACUCGGUGAUUUUAACAAAAAAAGAAAGAUGUGUUUGAUGUUGAGGUAAGAGCCACAAGAAGAGGGUUGCUGCUAAUGUGGGGAGGAGAACGUGAAUUAAGAGAAGGCAAAUAGGAAAGAAGAUGCUUGAUUUGGAGAACGAAAGUAAAAAAAAAAAAGUGAAGAGGAUAGGAAAAAAAAACGAGUUUAUCUUUAUGAGCUUAUAAGUUACCCCUAUUUUCAUAAUAGUUACCUUUAUAAGCUUAUAAGUUACCCCUAUUGCCUUGAUAGUUUACCUUUGUAUUUUUUUUUUGAGGGGAAGUUUACCUUUGUAUUUUAAUUAUUAGUUAAGUUUGAAUAAUUAAUAGUUGCUCAUAUUAUGUAAUUAGUUAUCCUUAUCAAUUUAUACUAUAUGAGUAACUUUGUAAAUGAUUAAUGAGUAAUUAUUUAAAGAAAUCUCUAUUUUGUGGA
Beta vulgaris subsp. vulgaris (sugar beet) is the source of this 778-nucleotide long non-coding RNA. RefSeq lists it as uncharacterized. Lineage: Eukaryota; Viridiplantae; Streptophyta; Magnoliopsida; Caryophyllales; Amaranthaceae. The record is from RefSeq and is a predicted model, not a curated record. The transcript is spliced from 3 exons.